GAACGCUGAAGGCCCAGCUUGCUGGGUUGGAUGAGUGGCGAACGGGUGAGUAACACGUGAGUAACCUGCCCCCUUCUUUGGGAUAACGGUCGGAAACGGCUGCUAAUACCGGGUAUUCACUGUCCUUCGCAUGGGGGGUGGUGGAAAGGUUUUUUCUGGUGGGGGAUGGGCUCGCGGCCUAUCAGCUUGUUGGUGGGGUGAUGGCUUACCAAGGCUUUGACGGGUAACCGGCCUGAGAGGGUGACCGGUCACAUUGGGACUGAGAUACGGCCCAGACUCCUACGGGAGGCAGCAGUGGGGAAUAUUGCACAAUGGGCGAAAGCCUGAUGCAGCGACGCCGCGUGAGGGAUGACGGCCUUCGGGUUGUAAACCUCUUUCGCUCAUGGUCAAGCCGCAACAGUGGUUGUGGUGAGGGUAGUGGGUAAAGAAGCACCGGCUAACUACGUGCCAGCAGCCGCGGUAAUACGUAGGGUGCGAGCGUUGUCCGGAAUUAUUGGGCGUAAAGGGCUUGUAGGCGGUUUGUCGCGUCUGCCGUGAAAUCCUCUGGCUUAACUGGGGGCGUGCGGUGGGUACGGGCAGGCUUGAGUGCGGUAGGGGAGACUGGAACUCCUGGUGUAGCGGUGGAAUGCGCAGAUAUCAGGAAGAAC
This 647-nucleotide ribosomal RNA is filed under the name uncultured Actinomycetes bacterium. RNAcentral's name for it is "bacterial SSU rRNA". It matches the Rfam family "Bacterial small subunit ribosomal RNA", at positions 64 to 707 of the family's 1533-position model. Lineage: Bacteria; Bacillati; Actinomycetota; Actinomycetes. The record is from RNAcentral.